UGAUGGUACUUCAUAGACAACAAAGUUGGUUUUAUUUACUUCAUAGUCUUGAAGAGUAGCUGGUUUCUUUUUAUUUAGGUUUCUCCCCGCCACAUUUGAGUACAAUCGCUUCGGUAACUUUUGUUGUAGAAUGCAAGUGUUUUAUUAUUUUUCUUAAAUUUGAUUAGUUUGUAGUCGAGUCUUUAAAUAUAUACACCAAAUUACUUCAGUAUUUAGAAUGUGUUUGGUGCUGCAGCUAAAAAAAAUAUUAUUUUAAUAUAUUUUUAAAUAAAAAGUAUUUUAAAAUAACGGCUACCGCAAUGUCAAAUAUGCUAGUUACUACUAGAAAAGCUGGUGGUAUUGGAAAGGGCUUGCUAGUGCCAAAGAGAUUUAGUGGCAUCCUGGGAUCAUGUUCUUGGUGGCAGUUGGGUGGUUCAACUCAUGCUUAUUAGUCAUGAUUGAUCACCGGCUUUUAUUAUGCCUUCGCGGGGCUAGGUUUGGGGCUAUGGCUCAACUUGGACAAGAAAGAUGACGAGCAUUCUAGUAAACUGUAUUUUGUUGCCCAAGUUCUUGGUUUUCAAUAAGGGGUCCAAUUCUAGUAACCCUGCAUCUAUGCCUGAAAUCAACCUAGGAUGACAAUUGAUUUUUAGAAAUUCAAAAGCCUUUAGCUGUCUUUGCGAUCUUCACUGAGAUGCUUACAAAAUUCUACACUUUCUUUGAUAUUGCAGAAAACUGAUUUAAAUUUCAUAUUAAUUUCAUCAAGUCAAUCCUGAAAAGUCCUACCUCUGCAAUUCUUGACUAUACCAUUAUCAAUUUGCCAUAUCUCAAACUCAAAAUACACAUCUAUCAUGGCAGUGUUCAGCAGUACCAGGAAGAUGCUGUGCAGAUUAAAAUCUCAAUGUUUCUUCAUUUUCCUAUGACCAAAUUUUAUGCCUGUAGCUUCCUCAAAUAUAGCCAUACAUUUCUAUACCAAUUAGUGUUUUUUUUUUUUGUUUUGGUAUGAGUGUUUGGUUUUUUGGAAGUUUAUACAAGGACUUCAUUUUAUUGUUGUCCUACAUAGUUUGAGGAUUUCUAAAUCCUUGCCUAAAUCUUGAUUUACUUUAGUGAUAGUAUUUAAGGUCUAACACAUUACUUGGUGCAAAAAUAAAACGAAUAGGGUGCUCAAAUGGGAUCUUGUACUCUGGUUCUUCAGCAGUGUCUUCUGUAUUUCAAUUGCAUUUACUUGAAAUUUCCUUGUGAAGAUAACCUUUGUAUGUUACAGUUACAUCUGUUAAUCAUUGUCAAGUAAGCUGAAAGAACUAAUUCAUGCAUUUUACAAGAAAUGCAGGUCGAGAAAAGAUUAGAGAAGCUUAAGAAAGGGAAGGCAAAGGAUUCACAAUCUAAACUCAAGACGCUGAAAAGUCUGCCAUGGAAAGGAUUCGGCAUGCACUCAUGGAUGGAAAACCAGCACGAUCUGUUACAUUAACAGAUUUUGAAAAGGAUGCAGUGAAUCAUCUUUGCUUGCUUACUAUGAAACCGGUCAUAUAUGUGGAAAAUGUUGCAGAAUCUGACCUAGCUGAUUCUGCAAUUAAUCCUAAUGUCAAAGAAGUGAUGAAUCUUGCAUCUGAAUUACAAUCCGGACUAGUGACAAUUUCUGCACAGGUGUGGUGAUUCCUUUUAGAAAAUUUAACCUCAAUACAUGUGUUGUGCUGUCUUUUUCAGAUCAAUAUACCUGUUGUGACCUUUAUACUGUCGAUUUUCAGAUGUUGCAUGAAGCAGGUAAUCUGAGGAUGCCUAUUAUUGCAGGUUGAAUCAGAGCUUACAGAACUGCCAUUUGAAGAACGAAGUGAAUUUUUGAAUUCACUCGGCGUUAGUGAAAGUUGCCUCGGGAACCUCAUCAGAGCAACAUAUAGCCUUUUGGGGUUGCGUACAUACUUUACUUCUGGAGAGAAGGAAACAAAAGCUUGGACCAUACUUUCAGGAAUGACUGCACCUCAAGCUGCUGGAGUUAUACAUUCCGACUUUGAGAAGGGUUUUAUUCGAGCUGAGACAUUGAGAACAGUUCAAGAAGGAGAUGUAAUGCUGUUUCGUUUCAACGUUUGACAGUCAUCAUACUAAACAUAAACACAUCUUGUUUCUUUUCCAACACAAUCAAGCUGGGGAACAAUUUGAAUACAGCUCAAGUGAAAGAACGGUUUUAGAGUUCAUUUAGAAAUCAUCUUGAACUGGGGGCAUAUGCUCUUUCAUUUUUUACCUGCUCAUCCAUUCAAAACACAGAAUUUUGCUCGAGUAAUCCAAGCGCUCUGUGAUGAGUAGAAUAGCUCAUAAUAUACAUAGGAUCGGUUGUUAAUUAUUUUUACCCCAUUCAUCGGGACAUCAUUAGUUUAUAGAUAAGUUGAGAGCAGAGCAUGUAUCAAGUAAGCUGAUUUGGAUUACUAUCUCCCCAAGUGUUCUUUGAAUAUUGUACAAGAACAAGGUCUAGAUAAGGUGCUAUCAAGGUUUGACAGCAACUUGAGUAACCUCAGGUGCUGGACAGAAGUCAGAAGAUGCAUUUUCUUGCUGAUUUUGGGUUCUGAAUUUGCUCUCACGUUUGCCUCUUAGAGGGAAAAAAAUGAAUUAACUGGACGUGGUUAUAUUUUAUCCCCAUAGGUCUCCAUAUUCAAAUAUAUGCUUCUUGGCAUGUUGACAAGCUCAUUCUGCAUCAUCAGGGGCUGAGAUUGGUCAAAA
Populus trichocarpa (black cottonwood) is the source of this 2685-nucleotide RNA transcript. RefSeq lists it as uncharacterized. The transcript is spliced from 5 exons. The record is from RefSeq and is a predicted model, not a curated record. Lineage: Eukaryota; Viridiplantae; Streptophyta; Magnoliopsida; Malpighiales; Salicaceae.